CUAUUUCCAGCCCUUUAACAAUGGAACAUCAAAAAUAUCACCUAUAUCCCUCAGCAAAUAUAGAAGACUGUAUUUUUACUAUGAUAUCCACUUUUCCAGAAUUGUGAUUAUAAUAUGCAAAGAGUCAUAAAUAUGCCAUUUACAAUAAGGAGGAGGCGAGGCAAAUGCAUAGAUGUACAAAUAUAUGUACAACAGAUUUUGCCAAGACAUGAAGAUAGCAACUCAACAAAUACUGUAGUUAAGAGAUGAACUCGUCACUUGUAUGGGAACCACAUUUCACUCUUUGUUUUCAGGAUGUAACAGCACUUCACCUAAAUAUUCUUUGAGCCAUAUCACUGGUAACAUUUCUACUAAACCUCUCUGUAACACUUAA
RNAcentral lists this long non-coding RNA (373 nucleotides) under Bos taurus (domestic cattle). RNAcentral describes it as "long non-coding RNA NONBTAT004758". The record is from RNAcentral. Lineage: Eukaryota; Metazoa; Chordata; Mammalia; Artiodactyla; Bovidae.